UGUGUACUCCCUUCGUCCGGAAAUACUUGUCAUCAAAAUGGAUAAAAAGAGAUGUAUCUAGAACUAAAAUACAUCUACAUACAUUCUCUUUUAUUCAUUUUGAUGACAAGUAUUUCCGGACAGAGGGAGUACAUG
Molecule: non-coding RNA, 135 nt
Organism: Triticum aestivum (bread wheat)
Lineage: Eukaryota; Viridiplantae; Streptophyta; Magnoliopsida; Poales; Poaceae
Source: Rfam